ACCACAGCUGCCUCGACGAGAAGGAGGGAACUGCGCAAGCUGCGGGGAGAGUCACGAGAGGAGGAGCUGCCGUUUCCGCAACGCAGAGUGCAGGCAGUGCAGAAAAUCGGGACACAUCACCCAGGUGUGUUGGGCUCGGCCCACCCGACACCAGGCAUCAGAUGACCAAUCCAAGAGCCCCAGGUCCCGGGGCCCAACGCACCAAGGCAACUCGACGGAGCUCACGGACAUCCAGGUAUACCAGUUGCCCCACCCCAACGUAGAGAAAAUUUAUGUAGAGGUACAGAUAGAGGGGGCCCCAUGCCGCAUGGAGCUUGACACGGGUUCAACUCUAUCCAUAAUCUCGGCAAGGACCUUAAGGAAACUGUGACCUACUGGGGGUCCCAAACUCAGGCCGGCCCCAUUCACCCUCCAGGACUUCCAGAAACGUAAGGUCCCCACAAUGGGGGUGGGGACCUUCAGGGUGCAAUACUGAGGGCGGACGCGGCAACUGGACUUGCUUGUGGUCAAGGGCCCCUACAUUAGCUUACUGGGAUUGGCAUGGUUUGGACCACUGGGGCUAGCCGUCACCGGGGUGAACCACACUAGCUUACAAGUGGACGUGGACGCCAUAUGCAAGGAAUUUCCAGAGGUUUUCGAUGGGAAAUUGGGACAGUAUACGGGCCCCCCCAUUGCGCUACAGCUUGACCCCACAGUACGACCGGUCAGGCUCAAGGCCCGCCGGGUCCCGUUCGCCUUGAAACCCCGUAUAGACGAGGAAUUGGACCGGCUUGUGGAGCAAGGAGUGCUGGAGCCGGUGCCUAAUGCCCCCUGGGAAACCCCAAUCGUCACACCCAUCAAGUCUAAUGGUUCGGCCCGCAUCUGGGCAGACUACAAAUGUACCAUAAACAAGGCCCUCACGGCCCACGCAUACCCAGUGCCAGUGGUCAGCCAUGUCCUUGCCACCCUGGCUGGGUCGAAAUUUUUUGGCAAGCUGGACUUGGCCCAAGCAUAUCAACAGCUGCCAGUAGAUGAGGCCACAGCAGAGGCACAGACGAUUGUGACGCACAGAGGAGCAUUCAGGGUAAAGCGGCUGCAAUUCGGUGUCAGCGUGGCACCAGGCAUAUUCCAGAAUCUAAUGGACUCUCUCCUUAAAGGGAUUCCUGGUGUCACCCCCUUCUUCGAUGAUGUGUUGAUUGCCGGGCCCACACCAGAGGAGUUUGAGGACCGCCUCCGCACCGUUCUGCACCAUUUCCAGACGGCGGGUCUCAAGGUGAAGCGGGAAAAAUGUCUACUAGGAGUGCCUCAGAUGGACUUUCUGGGAUUUAUGGUGGACGCAGAAGGGGUCCACCCGGCUGGGGACAAGGUACG
This is a non-coding RNA of Podarcis lilfordi (Lilford's wall lizard), 1350 nucleotides long. The record is from the annotation of a GenBank genome assembly. Lineage: Eukaryota; Metazoa; Chordata; Lepidosauria; Squamata; Lacertidae.